This 3676-nucleotide long non-coding RNA is filed under the name Eutrema salsugineum. Its description in RNAcentral is "long non-coding RNA (ESAL_LNC000682)". The record is from RNAcentral. Lineage: Eukaryota; Viridiplantae; Streptophyta; Magnoliopsida; Brassicales; Brassicaceae.
AUCUUGACAUCUUGUGCACAUCCGAUCUUCAGCUCUUAAACCAAAGGCACUCGCAAAGACUUUGGAAUUGAUUCAUAGCCUUCCAUCAGCUUGCUUCUCCACUUGAACUUCCACCUUAGCCACCUUGGGUCUGCUAUCUUCAGGUCAGCCUCUUUGGUCUGCCAUCUUCAAGUCAGCCAGGUUAAACUAGGUUGGGCUUGUCUUUUGGUCUCUGAAACUUGAUGGCCCUCUUGAUCAAUUCUAAGCUUGUUGCUGCGCCUUCUUUUGGCUUCUUUGAAGCCUUAAUGGAUCUGAAUACAGCCACCAGCUGACUUCCAGCUCACAUGACCCAUUCAGACCUCUCAAACUCGCCACUUCUUCUUGAGAUAGCAAACGAGCCAAACACCAUCCUUUUUAAGACCCGAACCUGUUUAAAUUUGAAGACAGAUUCUAAAACAAGAGAUUGUAUUUGUUAGAGUAUAGAGAAUAAGCAGAAGAAUAAAAGAGAAUUUGGAGAAUAAGGAGAAUAAUGGAGAAUAAAGAGAAUAUUGGGGAGAAUAAAGAGAAUGAGAGAAUGGAGAAUAGAGAAUAAGCGGAAGCAAAGGAGAAUGGGAAAAGAAAUUUUGCUCAAGAGUUCUUAUGGACAGAGUUUUGCUCUGUUUUCUUGAGUUAAGCCAAAGCAAAUGCCAGCCAAAAACACCAAGAAUCCCAAGACUAUGGAGUUUUAAUGGCUGGAACAAGAUAAACUGAUUGGAAAAUUAAUUUCUCCAUCAAUUAACACAAGAACUCAAGGAAAAACCCAUUUACACGAGCUUCCCAUGAGAAUUUUAAUAAAUAAAAACGACCACAAAAAUUACACAAUGCUUAGUGCUUCUCAUGGUUUAGAAAAAAACAAACACUGAUGGUUAAAAACAAUUUUUCCACCAGUUUUUUUUAAAGAUCUAUUUCUCUUUUUGUCAAGCUUGUUCUUUUGGUCACAAGUCAAUACCAGAUUCAAGCUUUCAAAAAUAAGAGAAAAUAAAUCAGAAAGAGAACUCCACCCUUGUCCUCGUGAAAAGUCAUUGGACUAAGUGAAGAACACAAAACACAAAAAAAAAACAGAAACAGAAAGAGAAUCGAGUUUUAGAUGGAACAAAGAAAGAUGGCUCUGAUACCAUGUUGGGAUUUAUGAGACAAAGCUCAACAAAUGGUGGAAGCAUUCACUUGGUGAAUGAAACCACUUAACCCACACAAAAUAAACUCGAUCUCAAGAGAGAGAAGAGACCAUCAACUUGUGAUGGAAUCCACACAAUAAACAUAAGUAGAACCGAAUCUAUGAGGAAGAAAACGAUUCUAUAAAGGGAAAGCAUCUAGUUUGAGACUAAUCUAAGCAAUGAACACAACACAUAGAGAGUUUGUGUUCUUGAGAUGCAAGACUCAGUAAUCUAGAUGAGAGAAGCAAAUAAAGAAGAGUUUAGUGAGUGUUUAUGAAGUGAUAAGGCUGCCUUAAGGGCAGUCACUACAAACGAUUUUCUCUAAGGACUCUACAUUGCAAAAUAGAAUGAAGAACAAGAUAAAAGAGAGAAAUCACUUCAUUGAUUCUGUGUAACAUUUACAAGCUCGGUUACAUCUCUUUUUAUAGAGAGAAAGGAAGAGAGGAAGCCCUAACACAUGAGCCAAGACUGAGAGUGACAUAAAGAGAGCGUUUUUGUCUUGUUAAGAGCUGAAAGUGACAGUUCAUAAACGGUCACAUGUGACUAAAGUCACAUGUGAGAGCAGACUUGAAUUUGAAUUCGUUUCCCUCCUCUUCUUGUCACUUAUGGGCCUUAUUCCUUGCAUUCUUUAGGCUUUCUUGGCGUCCUCUUCUUCUUCUUAUCUAAUGGGCCUCGGCCUUACACAACCUUAGACUUGUACGGACACCUCUUGGAGUUGACUUGGCCGUACAGUUCUUCUUUUUCUUUAGGCCGAGGCUAGACUUGAUCAAUAGCUUCUUCAGCCUUGUCUUGUCUUCUUUUUAUCUUCUUUGAGAGAUCUUGGAGUUGUCUUCGGCCUUGUCUUGAUGUCAUUGGCCUUGACACUCCUCUUCUUCCUCUUCUUUGACUUGGAGAUGAUCGGCCUUGUCUUGUUGACUUCGGCCUCACCUCUCCUUUCCUUCUUUCACUCUAAUACUCCCCCGCAAGCUUGGUCGUCGAGACGCCAAAGAGGACCAGAGGCCAAGCUUGCAACACGCCAAACUACCUCAUUAAAAAACCUUCAUAAAUAAAACCUCUUGGGAUAAAACUUUAUGAAGGGAAAAAGAGUAUAGUUUGACGGUUGCUUGAUGUAGCUAUGGCCUUGGUUUGAAUUUGCUUUUGAACCGGCUCCUCUCCCAAGUGUUUCCAUUCCUUUAGCUCUUCUUGCCUUGAACUCUCUUCGCAUGAAUCCGUUCUUUGUCAUCUCCUUUGAGGCUCUCCAGCAUUUGAAGCUUUCUUUGGUCUCUUUGAGGCUCUUAUGGUCUCCUUUUUCCCUUAAACAAGAGAUAAAGAAGAAAAGAUUAAGUAAUGCCAUAAGGAAUAUCAAAGAAACAUAUAACCAAAUGAGGAACUUCAAAUCCUAUGAGGAAUAUCAAGAAUAAAAUAUGUACAAUAAACUAAGCAAUUCAUAGAAAGAAUCCGCAAAUGAACUUAAGGGAAUGAAAUAAAGGCAAAUAAAAAAAUGGGAUAGAGUUUAGAGUUUAGUCUGAUUUAUAUGAAGAGGAAUGUGAGGACUUUGAAAUGCGGUUUGGUCACCAAUUAUGCUCCCCCGCACACUAAACAUGUCUUGAGCCUUGAAAUUAUGUGCAAAAUAGAUCUUGACAUCUUGUGCACAUCCGAUCUUCAGCUCUUAAACCAAAGGCACUCGCAAAGACUUUGGAAUUGAUUCAUAGCCUUCCAUCAGCUUGCUUCUCCACUUGAACUUCCACCUUAGCCACCUUGGGUCUGCUAUCUUCAGGUCAGCCUCUUUGGUCUGCCAUCUUCAAGUCAGCCAGGUUAAACUAGGUUGGGCUUGUCUUUUGGUCUCUGAAACUUGAUGGCCCUCUUGAUCAAUUCUAAGCUUGUUGCUGCGCCUUCUUUUGGCUUCUUUGAAGCCUUAAUGGAUCUGAAUACAGCCACCAGCUGACUUCCAGCUCACAUGACCCAUUCAGACCUCUCAAACUCGCCACUUCUUCUUGAGAUAGCAAACGAGCCAAACACCAUCCUUUUUAAGACCCGAACCUGUUUAAAUUUGAAGACAGAUUCUAAAACAAGAGAUUGUAUUUGUUAGAGUAUAGAGAAUAAGCAGAAGAAUAAAAGAGAAUUUGGAGAAUAAGGAGAAUAAUGGAGAAUAAAGAGAAUAUUGGGGAGAAUAAAGAGAAUGAGAGAAUGGAGAAUAGAGAAUAAGCGGAAGCAAAGGAGAAUGGGAAAAGAAAUUUUGCUCAAGAGUUCUUAUGGACAGAGUUAGUUAAGCCAACGCAAAUGCCAGCCAAAAACACCAAGAAUCCCAAGACUAUGGAGUUUUAAUGGCUGGAACAAGAUAAACUGAUUGGAAAAUUAAUUUCUCCAUCAAUUAACACAAGAACUCAAGGAAAAACCCAUUUACACGAGCUUCCCAUGAGAAUUUUAAUAAAUAAAAACGACCACAAAAAUUACACAAUGCUUAGUGCUUCUCAUGGUUUAGAAAAAAACAAACACUGAUGGUUAAAAACAAUUUUUCCACCAGU